RNAcentral lists this ribosomal RNA (281 nucleotides) under Clostridioides difficile. Its description in RNAcentral is "partial 23S ribosomal RNA". It matches the Rfam family "Bacterial large subunit ribosomal RNA", at positions 1 to 281 of the family's 2925-position model. The record is from RNAcentral. Lineage: Bacteria; Bacillati; Bacillota; Clostridia; Peptostreptococcales; Peptostreptococcaceae.
UGGUCAAGUUAUUAAGGGUGCAGGGCGGAUGCCUUGGCACUAGGAGCCGAUGAAGGACGUGAUAAGCUGCGAUAAGCUUCGGGGAGUUGCACGUAAACUUUGAUCCGAAGAUUUCCGAAUGAGGAAACUCACUUAGAGUAAUGUCUAAGUAUCAUUAAGUGAAUACAUAGCUUAAUGAGGGGAACUCAGGGAACUGAAACAUCUAAGUACCUGAAGGAAGAGAAAGAAAUUCGAUUCCGUAAGUAGCGGCGAGCGAACGCGGAUUAGCCCAAACCAAUAAA